RNAcentral lists this ribosomal RNA (433 nucleotides) under uncultured bacterium. RNAcentral's name for it is "partial 16S ribosomal RNA". It matches the Rfam family "Bacterial small subunit ribosomal RNA", at positions 29 to 507 of the family's 1533-position model. The record is from RNAcentral.
AGCGAACGCUGGCGGCAGGCCUAACACAUGCAAGUCGAACGAACUCUUCGGAGUUAGUGGCGGACGGGUGAGUAACACGUGGGAACGUGCCUUUUGGUUCGGAAUAACUCAGGGAAACUUGUGCUAAUACCGAAUGUGCCCUUCGGGGGAAAGAUUUAUCGCCAUUAGAGCGGCCCGCGUCUGAUUAGCUAGUUGGUGAGGUAACGGCUCACCGAGGCGACGAUCAGUAGCUGGUCUGAGAGGAUGACCAGCCACACUGGGACUGAGACACGGCCCAGACUCCUACGGGAGGCAGCAGUGGGGAAUCUUGCGCAAUGAGCGAAAGCCUGACGCAGCCAUGCCGCGUGAAUGAUGAAGGUCUUAGGAUUGUAAAAUUCUUUCACCGGGGACGAUAAUGACGGUACCCGGAGAAGAAGCCCCGGCUAACUUCGUG